Molecule: transfer RNA, 73 nt
Filed under: Marmota monax (woodchuck)
Lineage: Eukaryota; Metazoa; Chordata; Mammalia; Rodentia; Sciuridae
Description: tRNA.Ala
Rfam family: tRNA
About the family: Transfer RNA (tRNA) molecules are approximately 80 nucleotides in length.
Source: RNAcentral
UGGGGUUGUGGCUCAGCGGUAGAGCACUUGCCUAGCAUGCAUGAGGCACUGGAUUCAAUCCCCAGCGCCACAA